This 2906-nucleotide ribosomal RNA is filed under the name Klebsiella michiganensis. RNAcentral's name for it is "23S ribosomal RNA". It matches the Rfam family "Bacterial large subunit ribosomal RNA". The record is from RNAcentral. Lineage: Bacteria; Pseudomonadati; Pseudomonadota; Gammaproteobacteria; Enterobacterales; Enterobacteriaceae.
GGUUAAGCGACUAAGCGUACACGGUGGAUGCCCUGGCAGUCAGAGGCGAUGAAGGACGUGCUAAUCUGCGAAAAGCGUCGGUAAGGUGAUAUGAACCGUUAUAGCCGGCGAUGUCCGAAUGGGGAAACCCAGUGCAAUUCGUUGCACUAUCGUUAACUGAAUACAUAGGUUAACGAGGCGAACCGGGGGAACUGAAACAUCUAAGUACCCCGAGGAAAAGAAAUCAACCGAGAUUCCCCCAGUAGCGGCGAGCGAACGGGGAGCAGCCCGGAGUCUGAAUCAGCUUGUGUGUUAGUGGAAGCGUCUGGAAAGUCGCAGGGUACAGGGUGAUACUCCCGUACACUAAAACACACAGGUUGUGAACUCGAAGAGUAGGGCGGGACACGUGGUAUCCUGUCUGAAUAUGGGGGGACCAUCCUCCAAGGCUAAAUACUCCUGACUGACCGAUAGUGAACCAGUACCGUGAGGGAAAGGCGAAAAGAACCCCGGCGAGGGGAGUGAAAAAGAACCUGAAACCGUGUACGUACAAGCAGUAGGAGCCCACUAGUUGGGUGACUGCGUACCUUUUGUAUAAUGGGUCAGCGACUUAUAUUCUGUAGCAAGGUUAACCGUAUAGGGGAGCCGCAGGGAAACCGAGUCUUAACUGGGCGUUAAGUUGCAGGGUAUAGACCCGAAACCCGGUGAUCUAGCCAUGGGCAGGUUGAAGGUUGGGUAACACUAACUGGAGGACCGAACCGACUAAUGUUGAAAAAUUAGCGGAUGACUUGUGGCUGGGGGUGAAAGGCCAAUCAAACCGGGAGAUAGCUGGUUCUCCCCGAAAGCUAUUUAGGUAGCGCCUCGUGAAUUCAUCUUCGGGGGUAGAGCACUGUUUCGGCUAGGGGGUCAUCCCGACUUACCAACCCGAUGCAAACUACGAAUACCGAAGAAUGUUAUCACGGGAGACACACGGCGGGUGCUAACGUCCGUCGUGAAGAGGGAAACAACCCAGACCGCCAGCUAAGGUCCCAAAGUCAUGGUUAAGUGGGAAACGAUGUGGGAAGGCCCAGACAGCCAGGAUGUUGGCUUAGAAGCAGCCAUCAUUUAAAGAAAGCGUAAUAGCUCACUGGUCGAGUCGGCCUGCGCGGAAGAUGUAACGGGGCUAAACCAUGCACCGAAGCUGCGGCAGCGACACUAUGUGUUGUUGGGUAGGGGAGCGUUCUGUAAGCCGUUGAAGGUGGCCUGUGAGGGUUGCUGGAGGUAUCAGAAGUGCGAAUGCUGACAUAAGUAACGAUAAUGCGGGUGAAAAACCCGCACGCCGGAAGACCAAGGGUUCCUGUCCAACGUUAAUCGGGGCAGGGUGAGUCGACCCCUAAGGCGAGGCCGAAAGGCGUAGUCGAUGGGAAACAGGUUAAUAUUCCUGUACUCGGUGUUACUGCGAAGGGGGGACGGAGAAGGCUAUGUUGGCCGGGCGACGGUUGUCCCGGUUUAAGCAUGUAGGCGGAUGUUCCAGGUAAAUCCGGAACGUUAUUAACGCUGAGGUGUGAUGACGAGGCACUACGGUGCUGAAGUGACAAAUGCCCUGCUUCCAGGAAAAGCCUCUAAGCAUCAGGUAACAUCAAAUCGUACCCCAAACCGACACAGGUGGUCAGGUAGAGAAUACCAAGGCGCUUGAGAGAACUCGGGUGAAGGAACUAGGCAAAAUGGUGCCGUAACUUCGGGAGAAGGCACGCUGAUGGUAGGUGAAGCGACUUGCUCGUGGAGCUGAAAUCAGUCGAAGAUACCAGCUGGCUGCAACUGUUUAUUAAAAACACAGCACUGUGCAAACACGAAAGUGGACGUAUACGGUGUGACGCCUGCCCGGUGCCGGAAGGUUAAUUGAUGGGGUUAUCCGUAAGGAGAAGCUCUUGAUCGAAGCCCCGGUAAACGGCGGCCGUAACUAUAACGGUCCUAAGGUAGCGAAAUUCCUUGUCGGGUAAGUUCCGACCUGCACGAAUGGCGUAAUGAUGGCCAGGCUGUCUCCACCCGAGACUCAGUGAAAUUGAACUCGCUGUGAAGAUGCAGUGUACCCGCGGCAAGACGGAAAGACCCCGUGAACCUUUACUAUAGCUUGACACUGAACACUGGUCCUUGAUGUGUAGGAUAGGUGGGAGGCUUUGAAGUGUGGACGCCAGUCUGCAUGGAGCCAUCCUUGAAAUACCACCCUUUAAUGGCUGGUGUUCUAACGUGGGCCCCUAAUCGGGGUUGCGGACAGUGUCUGGUGGGUAGUUUGACUGGGGCGGUCUCCUCCUAAAGAGUAACGGAGGAGCACGAAGGUCAGCUAAUCCUGGUCGGACAUCAGGAGGUUAGUGCAAUGGCAUAAGCUGGCUUGACUGCGAGCGUGACGGCGCGAGCAGGUGCGAAAGCAGGUCAUAGUGAUCCGGUGGUUCUGAAUGGAAGGGCCAUCGCUCAACGGAUAAAAGGUACUCCGGGGAUAACAGGCUGAUACCGCCCAAGAGUUCAUAUCGACGGCGGUGUUUGGCACCUCGAUGUCGGCUCAUCACAUCCUGGGGCUGAAGUAGGUCCCAAGGGUAUGGCUGUUCGCCAUUUAAAGUGGUACGCGAGCUGGGUUUAGAACGUCGUGAGACAGUUCGGUCCCUAUCUGCCGUGGGCGCUGGAGAAUUGAGGGGGGCUGCUCCUAGUACGAGAGGACCGGAGUGGACGCAUCACUGGUGUUCGGGUUGUCAUGCCAAUGGCAUUGCCCGGUAGCUAAAUGCGGAAGAGAUAAGUGCUGAAAGCAUCUAAGCACGAAACUUGCCCCGAGAUGAGUUCUCCCUGACCCUUUAAGGGUCCUGAAGGAACGUUGAAGACGACGACGUUGAUAGGCCGGGUGUGUAAGCGCAGCGAUGCGUUGAGCUAACCGGUACUAAUGAACCGUGAGGCUUAACCUU